RNAcentral lists this unclassified non-coding RNA (287 nucleotides) under uncultured Typhula. RNAcentral describes it as "partial contains 5.8S ribosomal RNA, internal transcribed spacer 2, and large subunit ribosomal RNA". The stretch from base 1 to 52 matches the Rfam family "5.8S ribosomal RNA", at positions 103 to 154 of the family's 154-position model. The record is from RNAcentral. Lineage: Eukaryota; Fungi; Basidiomycota; Agaricomycetes; Agaricales; Typhulaceae.
AACGCACCUUGCACUCUUUGGUAUUCCGAAGAGUAUGUCUGUUUGAGUGUCAUGAAACUCUCAACCCCCCUGUUUUGUAAUGAGACGGGCGUGGGCUUGGAUUAUGGCUGCUGCCGGCGUAAAGUCGGCUCGGCUGAAAUAUACGAGCAACCCAUUUGAAAUAGACGGUUUGACUCGGCGUAAUAAUUAUUUCGCUGAGGACGUCUUCUUCAAACGUUAGAGGUGCUUCUAAUGCAAUCAAUUUAAUGUUAGACCUCAAAUCAGUCAGGACUACCCGCUGAACUUAA